RNAcentral lists this unclassified non-coding RNA (5169 nucleotides) under Homalodisca vitripennis (glassy-winged sharpshooter). RNAcentral describes it as "uncharacterized LOC124354810, transcript variant X3". Lineage: Eukaryota; Metazoa; Arthropoda; Insecta; Hemiptera; Cicadellidae. The record is from RNAcentral.
UCUAUGGUGAAAUUCCGCCAAAUCAGACUUCCAAAAUAGUAAUUAUUAUUCGUCUGACUAUCCAUAAGUCAUUCUCUUGUUUUGGUAAUAUAUAAUGUGAUUCAAAAUUAGUUAGGCUUAGAACUUUUCAACUAAAGUUAAACAUCUAUUGAUCUUUCCUGGAGUGGAUUAGCUCUUGUUAUGUCGAAUUAUAAUCCUAAUCCAUAGAUUCCAAAGUCCAUCCAGUUCAGAAGAGGAGAGACCGUUAGACCUAUUUCGUUUCAAAACAUUAUUCAAAUAAUUGAAAAAUAUUAUUUUGAAACAUGGAAAAUUGUUCUCGUUCGAGAGCCCAGGCAACAUCACCAUUAAUGUUUGAAUCCGAUGAAGAAGACUCCUCAGAUGAUGAUCCUGCUAAUACCAGUAACAAGGAAAAUGCAGAUGAAAAUGUUGACAGAACUUCUGAGCUAACCAAAGAAGAAAAAAUUUUAAAAGGAUUCCAAACUGUAUUGAUGGGUAUUCCUCCACCUCCUGCUUUCACCGUUCCUCAGUUUGACUCUCGGGAGAUCCUGAAGCUGUGGAGAGACCAUCAGAAGUUUAGGCUGGUCUUGUCACCUGGCAAAGGUAAACAGAAUUUGGCAAGGCAGUUGGAGGAAGAAGUGAAGGUCACCCCAUGGCCUGAAGUGCUAAAUGUGGACCAUUGGGAUAUUUACUAUAACAAGAGUGCUGUGUGUGAGGAGGUGGAGAGACUCAGUUUACGAUACAAGGAGCGCUAUGUGGGUUCAGAGACGUCGUCAUGCAUCAAUGCACUGUUUGCCAAGAGUCCUACACGCACAGCCAGUGCGCGCAAGCGCGCCCGCACUCGUGCAUGGGGUCAUAGUCCUGGCCGCCGUCUCAGCCACUUAGCGCGGCGACGCAACGCAUUCUCCUCCGCCAAUCUAUGCAGUGUUGCUGGCAACAAUAAUCCUGAUAAGAAGAUGAUUAUGGUUGAAAUCAAAAAAAUAGGCAAUCGUAGUAAGAAAAAAGGUUCUGCAAAAAAAUCAAAACCCACGCCACAAAAAAAGAGCCAAACACAGACCAACACACACAAAAGGGCGUUGUUCCAGAGCCCUGAUCAGCCGCCAGCCAAAGAUGUAACGCAAACCCCUAACACUCGAUGUGUCCUGAGAUCAAAACGUAACCUGUUUGCAGACUCCAGUAGUGAAAAAAUUAAUGAAAACGGGAAACGGGAACGCCCAGUUCCGAAGAGGGUGAGCCCACGGAAACGAGUCAACAGGAGUUUGUCAUUCCAAGACCACUCACAAGAGACCGCUCCACAUCUGAAUAUGUCACUGCAACAAACCAAAUUUCCAACAACUCAAUCUUCUCAGAGCGUUCUCUCUGGGACUCAUAAACAGAAAAUGCUAUGGGCUGUGACGAACGCUCUACGGGAAGAAAACAUGGGGAUGAACCAUGAGCUAUUUCGGCCGUGCAUGUCUGUUCUCUUCAAAGCAUGCCAGAAGCUGUGGCUGAUGAAUACGGCGAUACGAGAGCAAGAGGGCAGCACUAGUGAAAACAUGUUGGCACUGGCUAAGCAGUUUAGUGUUUACACUAUCAAACAGAUCAACAGUGAUCCAACUUCAGAACAUAUGGCUCUAGUGUGCACAAAUAUCAUAAGACAAGCGGAAAAUAAUUUAUGUAAAACUAAACCUAAGCAAGAUGGUGUUAGACAAUUACUUUCCAGAAAUCCUCUGUCCGAGCUUAGUUGUUCAAAAGAAAAUGCAAGUAGUCCCACUAACUGUGAAGAAAUUCAUAAAUCUUCUGUUUGCAAAGAACUAAAAAGUGAAGCAGAAAACUCUAAAUGCAGCAGGAAUGGAAUAAUAGGUUCUCCUCUUUUCAAAAUGAAGAAAAAUAACAACAAAAGUCCUUUGAAAAUCGUUCAGAAAUAUGGGAAAUCAUCUCAAAUAACACUCAGAACACUGAGAAGUACACCUAAUAAAAUUGAUUGUAACAGUUCUAUUAUAGAAUCUAGGACUCCCAAGAAAACUCCAUCAAAACUCAUCUCUAAAUAUACAGAUUUGCCAAGCACAUCAACUUGUGUUACUAGAAGUAUGUUGGCUGAAAUGGGGGUUAACAGAACAGUUGUCAAUUCAGUAUCAGAGUCAUCUCAAGAAAAAACGCCUUCAAAAUCUAAUAAGAAGGUUACAAAUACACCUAAAAAAUCUUCUCGGUGCUCCAGAAUUAUAUUUUCUGAUUUGGAUUCCAACACUGUAACUGACAGUUCAAAGAUAAAUGCAUGUACAAGUAAUAAGAAAACACCAUCAAAAUGUAGCAUACAGUCUACAGAUUCUCCAAAAAAGACUACUCGGUGUACUAGAAAUAUAUUUUCUGACUUGGAUGCAAACACCGUAACCAAUAGUUCAGAGAUAAAUGCAUGUAGAAGUAGUAAGAAAACACCAUCAAAAUCCAGCAUGCAGUGUAUAGUUACUCCCGAAAAGGCCUCUCAGUGUGCCAGAAGUAUAGGUUCUGAUUUGGACGCCAACACAGUAACUGAUAGUUCAGAAAUGAACCCAUGUAGUAAGAAAACGCCAUCAAAAUCCAAUUCAACAUUUGCAGAUACUCCUAAAAAGUCCUCUCGGUGUACCAGAAGUAUAUUUUCUGCUUUGGAUGCCAAAGCAGUAACAGAUAGUUUAGAGACGAAUUCAUGUAAUAAGAAAACGCCAUCAAAAUCCAAUAUAAAUUUUAUAGGCACUCCUAAAAAAUCUGUUCGCUGUACCAGAAGCAUAUCUACCGACAUGGAUACCAAUAGUGCAGAAACCUCCUCAUGUGUAAAUAAAACAUUAUCAAACUGUCCAAAUUCAGUAAGUAUAUCAAACUAUGUUACCCGAAGCGUGUCUAUGAUUUCAGAGUUGGAGUCAUCUCAAAAGGAAACACCAUUAAAAUCUAUACUAAAGUCCAUAAAUUCUCCUUGUAGGACUAAUAUUUGUUCCAGAAGAACAUCUGAUUCAGAAACAAAUCCUACUCCAGAUGGAUCUGAAACAAACACAUACCGUGAGAGGACUCCUUCAAAAUCCAGAAUUAAAUUUAUGUGCACACCUGAAAUAUCAAGCUGUAUCACUAGGACCAUGUCUUUUGAUUUAGAAGUUAAAAAUGAAGGGGUAGAGCUAGAAAAAAGUUCAACUAAUACACUAGCCCCUUCAAAACUUAUUGCCCAAAGUAAAGAAUCGCCAAUUGUAUCAGGUCGUAUGAUCAGAAGUAGUUUAAAUGAAGCUACAACAUCAGCACAAACGCCUGAGAAAACAAAUGUUCAACUUGAACAAAUUAGUAGAAAAAUAUCUUUUGAUAUGGAUGCUAAAAUGACAGCUGAUGAAUCAGAGAUACGAGUCUCUAAAGAAACUUCUAACAAGCUUGACAUUAAACAACUAGGCUCAUCAAAGAGAAUCAUACCAACUACAAGACGAAUGUCUUGUAAUACAGAGAUUGAUAACAGUGUAAGAAUAAACCUGCUACAUAGAAGAACUCCUCCCAAAAUGAAUAACUUACGUAAAGGAUUAACCAGCCUUUUGAAUCGUAGGACGAGAAGCUUGUCCUGUGACAUUCCAGGAAACAUUAAUAAUGUAACUAAGCCUGUAUUUUUGAAACCAACUCCUCCGAAAGGUAGUUUAAAGAGCAAGAAUUCACCAAGGGACCAGUACGAUAGAAAAUAUUAUGGUACAAAAUCUGAUAGUACAGCUUUCUCUGACAUCUGUGUUCAAGAUAGUAUCAAUGUAAGUAACGAGUUAUUACCAGCAUCUCCAGAGUUUACUUCUCCAAUAACUCGGUCCAGAAGUGGUUCUAUAAAAAUGAAAACUAAAACUGAAGAUAAUGCAUCUAUAGAUAGUACAUUAGUUAGCAUAUCAAAUUCUGACAGCGCUAGUAAGUCUCCAGAAUCGAGUUCUCAGAUAAAUAUUUGUUUAAAUCAUAAUACAGAUGAAUCUGUCCACUCAGAAGGAACUGACAAAUGUUCACAAAAUGGUGCUAUAGAUACUUUAAACACUUCUCCAUUCAUCAAAUGUGAGUCGGAAAAAUCAUUAAGUCAAAGGACGAAUAGCUCAUAUGACGAAACAACAUUGAGUAGUUGUGAAAACAACAAAGAAAGCUUGGACUUUACAUUAGUGAAUAACUGUAACAACGAGACUGUGAAAAAUAGUUCUAGUCAAAAACCUCUAUUUUCAGUUGAAAAUACACCACAAUCAGUUGAGAUGGCAUCAAAGAACCGUAUGUUGCACUUGUAUAAACUCUCAAAUUGUGGUGGUGAGAAUGUAGAUAAUAUAAAUAAUGUGGUACUACCCGACAACGAACCCCCUACACUGGUUCCGCACUGGGAACAUGUGAGUGAGUCGGAAGAAACAUCCAGUUCACUUCAAUCUCCUCCUUCACUCGUGCCCCACUGGGAACAGCCUAGCAGUGGCACAAGCACAUCCCUCCCCGAGUCCAUCAUGAGCCAUUGGCAACAACUGACCAACAGUGUUACCGUCAAUACUUCUGACAAGAUCAUGUUUGAUUUAGAGGACACUUCUUUUGAAAUCACCUUCCCUUCCACAAACGAAGAUUCCAGAGCAUCUUCCACAUGUGUUCCGUUUGACUUUCCUCAUCUAGUUGAUGAUUCUAAGAGUGGCUUCAAUGUGGUUUUUAGGAAAAACAGUUUUGAUUCUUAGGAGUGAAUAAUGAGGAAAGAGGGUGGCUUGAACUGUAUAUAAAGUGAGCCACGAGCUCAGAGAAGCCCAGUCAAAAUGGUUUCAGCAACCGGGUUCUACAUACUGCUCAUCUUCGCUUAUGUUUCAGCUGUGGAGUCCCUUGAUACUUUUGAGAGUGCUGCCAAUCGUGAUGCCUUGAAACAGAAACCUGAACUCCAUCCCUUUAUACUACCAAGGAAUUUACGGUCAUGGGCCUUCAUCAAACCUCGGCUUGGUAAACGAACAAUGGAAGACAGUGAGGGACUCUACCGUACUGACUCACCAUGGGAUUCCCUGGAGAAUCUUGAGAUCCAAGAUUAUCCAGAUGCAGCAUUGAUGAGAGAAGGAAGAGGAGAUAUAAAUGAUGCUUGGUACCCUUUCUUCACCCCAAGGCCUGGCCGAAGGUCCCCAUCUAACACCCAAUAGAAGAUUUCCGAUUAGAAAUGUUAAUAUAUGUAUAAUGUACUAAUUUAUUAAUAAAUACAGUUAAGUACUUUUA